This 1254-nucleotide ribosomal RNA is filed under the name Ligilactobacillus saerimneri DSM 16049. RNAcentral describes it as "bacterial SSU rRNA". It matches the Rfam family "Bacterial small subunit ribosomal RNA", at positions 273 to 1520 of the family's 1533-position model. Lineage: Bacteria; Bacillati; Bacillota; Bacilli; Lactobacillales; Lactobacillaceae. The record is from RNAcentral.
GCAAUGAUACGUAGCCGAGUUGAGAGACUGAUCGGCCACAUUGGGACUGAGACACGGCCCAGACUCCUACGGGAGGCAGCAGUAGGGAAUCUUCCACAAUGGACGCAAGUCUGAUGGAGCAACGCCGCGUGAGCGAAGAAGGUCUUCGGAUCGUAAAACUCUGUUGUUAGAGAAGAACACGGGUGAGAGUAACUGUUCACCUGUUGACGGUAUCUAACCAGCAAGUCACGGCUAACUACGUGCCAGCAGCCGCGGUAAUACGUAGGUGGCAAGCGUUAUCCGGAUUUAUUGGGCGUAAAGGGAACGCAGGCGGUUCUUUAAGUCUGAUGUGAAAGCCUUCGGCUUAACCGAAGAUGUGCAUUGGAAACUGGGGAACUUGAGUGCAGAAGAGGAGAGUGGAACUCCAUGUGUAGCGGUGAAAUGCGUAGAUAUAUGGAAGAACACCAGUGGCGAAAGCGGCUCUCUGGUCUGUAACUGACGCUGAGGUUCGAAAGCGUGGGUAGCGAACAGGAUUAGAUACCCUGGUAGUCCACGCCGUAAACGAUGAAUGCUAGGUGUUGGAGGGUUUCCGCCCUUCAGUGCCGCAGCUAACGCACUAAGCAUUCCGCCUGGGGAGUACGACCGCAAGGUUGAAACUCAAAGGAAUUGACGGGGGCCCGCACAAGCGGUGGAGCAUGUGGUUUAAUUCGAAGCUACGCGAAGAACCUUACCAGGUCUUGACAUCUUUUGACCACCUAAGAGAUUAGGUUUUCCCUUCGGGGACAAAAUGACAGGUGGUGCAUGGUUGUCGUCAGCUCGUGUCGUGAGAUGUUGGGUUAAGUCCCGCAACGAGCGCAACCCUUGUUGUCAGUUGCCAGCAUUCAGUUGGGCACUCUGGCGAGACUGCCGGUGACAAACCGGAGGAAGGUGGGGAUGACGUCAAAUCAUCAUGCCCCUUAUGACCUGGGCUACACACGUGCUACAAUGGGCAGUACAACGAGUCGCGAAACCGCGAGGUUUAGCAAAUCUCUUAAAGCUGCUCUCAGUUCGGACUGUAGGCUGCAACUCGCCUACACGAAGUCGGAAUCGCUAGUAAUCGCGAAUCAGCAUGUCGCGGUGAAUACGUUCCCGGGCCUUGUACACACCGCCCGUCACACCAUGAGAGUUUGUAACACCCAAAGCCGGUGGGGUAACCUUUUGGAGCCAGCCGUCUAAGGUGGGACAGAUGAUUGGGGUGAAGUCGUAACAAGGUAGCCGUAGGAGAACCUGCGGCUG